This 441-nucleotide ribosomal RNA is filed under the name uncultured bacterium. Its description in RNAcentral is "partial 16S ribosomal RNA". It matches the Rfam family "Bacterial small subunit ribosomal RNA", at positions 338 to 795 of the family's 1533-position model. The record is from RNAcentral.
CCUACGGGUGGCUGCAGUGGGGGAUAUUGCACAAUGGGGGGAACCCUGAUGCAGCGACGCCGCGUGGGUGAAGGAGCGUUUCGGCGCGUAAAGCCCUAUCGGCAGGGAAGAAGAAGGACGGUACCUGACGAAGAAGCCCCGGCUAACUACGUGCCAGCAGCCGCGGUAAUACGUAGGGGGCAAGCGUGAGCCGGAUGUACGGGGUGUAAAGGGGGCGCAGACGGCAGCGCAAGCCAGGAGGGAAAGCCCGGGGCCCAACCCCGGGACUGCGCUUGGAACUGCGCGGCUGGAGUGCCGGAGGGCCAGUCGGAAUUCCUGGUGUAGCGGUUACAUGCGUCGAUAUCAGGCGGAACACCGGUGGCGAAGGCGGCCUGCUGGACUGCGCCUGCCGUUGCGGCCCGAACGCGUGGGGAGCAAACAGGAUUAGCUACCCCUGUCGUC